UACGUAGGUGGCGAGCGUUGUCCGGAUUUACUGGGCGUAAAGGGAGCGUAGGUGGAUAUUUAAGUGGGAUGUGAAAUACCCGGGCUUAACCUGGGUGCUGCAUUCCAAACUGGAUAUCUAGAGUGCAGGAGAGGAAAGGAGAAUUCCUAGUGUAGCGGUGAAAUGCGUAGAGAUUAGGAAGAAUACCAGUGGCGAAGGCGCCUUUCUGGACUGUAACUGACACUGAGGCUCGAAAGCGUGGGGAGCAAACAGGAUUAGAUACUCCGGUAGUCCCU
Molecule: ribosomal RNA, 275 nt
Filed under: uncultured prokaryote
Description: partial 16S ribosomal RNA
Rfam family: Bacterial small subunit ribosomal RNA
Source: RNAcentral